Molecule: ribosomal RNA, 637 nt
Filed under: uncultured Veillonella sp.
Lineage: Bacteria; Bacillati; Bacillota; Negativicutes; Veillonellales; Veillonellaceae
Description: bacterial SSU rRNA
Rfam family: Bacterial small subunit ribosomal RNA
Source: RNAcentral
GACGAACGCUGGCGGCGUGCUUAACACAUGCAAGUCGAACGAAGAGCGAUGGAAGCUUGCUUCUAUCAAUCUUAGUGGCGAACGGGUGAGUAACGCGUAAUCAACCUGCCCUUCAGAGGGGGACAACAGUUGGAAACGACUGCUAAUACCGCAUACGAUCUAAUCUCGGCAUCGAGGAUGGAUGAAAGGUGGCCUCUAUGUAUAAGCUAUCACUGAAGGAGGGGAUUGCGUCUGAUUAGCUAGUUGGAGGGGUAACGGCCCACCAAGGCGAUGAUCAGUAGCCGGUCUGAGAGGAUGAACGGCCACAUUGGGACUGAGACACGGCCCAGACUCCUACGGGAGGCAGCAGUGGGGAAUCUUCCGCAAUGGACGAAAGUCUGACGGAGCAACGCCGCGUGAGCGAUGACGGCCUUCGGGUUGUAAAGCUCUGUUAAUCGGGACGAAAGGCCUUCUUGCGAAUAGUGAGAAGGAUUGACGGUACCGGAAUAGAAAGCCACGGCUAACUACGUGCCAGCAGCCGCGGUAAUACGUAGGUGGCAAGCGUUGUCCGGAAUUAUUGGGCGUAAAGCGCGCGCAGGCGGAUAGGUCAGUCUGUCUUAAAAGUUCGGGGCUUAACCCCGGUGAUGGGAUGGAAACU